CCUACGGGUGUCUGCAGUGGGGAAUAUUGGGCAAUGGGCGCAAGCCUGACCCAGCAACGCCGCGUGAAUGAAUAAGGCUUUCGGGUUUUAAACUACUUUUAAAGGGGAAUGACAGAAUCCGGUACCCCUUUAUUAAUCCACGGCUAACUACGUUCCAGCAGCCGCGGAAAUACGUAGGAGGCAACCGUUGUCCGGAUUUAUUGGGUGUAAAGGCCGGGCAUCCGGAGGGACAAGUCAGAUGUGAACUCCCCGUGCUCAACCCGUGAACUCCAUUUGAACCUGUUUCCCUUGAGUGUCGGAGAGGUAAUCGGAAUUACUGGUGUAGCGGUGAAAUGCGUAGAUAUAAGGAAGAAAACCAGUGGCGAAGGCGGAUUACUGGACGAUAACUGACGGUGAGGCGCGAAAGCGUGGGGAGCAAACAGGAUUAGAUACCCGAGUAGUC
RNAcentral lists this ribosomal RNA (442 nucleotides) under uncultured bacterium. RNAcentral describes it as "partial 16S ribosomal RNA". It matches the Rfam family "Bacterial small subunit ribosomal RNA", at positions 338 to 795 of the family's 1533-position model. The record is from RNAcentral.